GAUGAAGAACGUAGCGAAAUGCGAUAAGUAAUAUGAAUUGCAGAAUCCAGUGAAUCAUCGAAUCUUUGAACGCACAUUGCGCCCGCCAGCAUUCUGGCGGGCAUGCCUGUUCGAGCGUCAUUUCAACCCUCGACCUCCCCUUGGGGAGGUCGGCGUUGGGGACCGGCAGCACACCGCCGGCCCUGAAAUGGAGUGGCGGCCCGUCUGCGGCGACCUCUGCGUAGUAAUACAGCUCGCACCGGAACCCCGACGCGGCCACGCCGUAAAACACCCAACUUCUGAACGUUGACCUCGAAUCAGGUAGGACUACCCGCUGAACUUAAGCAUAUCAAUAAGCGGAGGA
This 343-nucleotide unclassified non-coding RNA is filed under the name soil metagenome. Its description in RNAcentral is "partial contains 5.8S ribosomal RNA, internal transcribed spacer 2, and large subunit ribosomal RNA". The stretch from base 1 to 120 matches the Rfam family "5.8S ribosomal RNA", at positions 35 to 154 of the family's 154-position model. The record is from RNAcentral.